GACGAACGCUGGCGGCGUGCUUAACACAUGCAAGUCGAACGGAAAGGCCUGCUUUCCCUUGUGGAUUGCGGGUACUCGAGUGGCGAACGGGUGAGUAACACGUGAGUGAUCUGCCCCCAACUUGGGUAUAAGCCUGGGAAACAGGGUCUAAUUCCCGAUAGGACUGCAGGGUGGUGGCUGUGGUGGAAAACGAUUUUCUAGUGGUUGGGGAUGAGCUCGCGGCCUAUCAGCUUGUUGGUGGGGUAAUGGCCUACCAAGGCGGCGACGGGUAGCCGGCCUGGGAGGGUGGACGGCCACAUUGGGACUGAGAUACGGCCCAGACUCCUACGGCAGGCAGCAGUGGGGAAUAUUGCACAAUGGGCGGAAGCCUGAUGCAGCGACGCCGCGUGGGGGAUGACGGCCUUCGGGUUGUAAACUCCUUUCGACCGCGAGGAAGCCACCUGGUUGGAAGGGUGGUGACGGUAGUGGUAGAAGAAGCACCGGCUAACUACGUG
This 494-nucleotide ribosomal RNA is filed under the name uncultured bacterium. RNAcentral describes it as "partial 16S ribosomal RNA". It matches the Rfam family "Bacterial small subunit ribosomal RNA", at positions 28 to 507 of the family's 1533-position model. The record is from RNAcentral.